AGAGUUUGAUCAUGGCUCAGGACGAACGCUGGCGGCGUGCCUAACACAUGCAAGUCGAACGGGGAUUUUGUUUCGGCAGAAUCCUAGUGGCGAACGGGUGAGUAACGCGUAGGCAACCUGCCCCCCGGAUUGGGACAACACCCCGAAAGGGGUGCUAAUACCGGAUACGAAGAUAGCACCGCAUGGUGAUAUUUUGAAAGAUGGCCUCUAUUUAUAAGCUAUCGCCGGGGGAUGGGCCUGCGUCCGAUUAGCUGGUUGGUGGGGUAACGGCCUACCAAGGCGACGAUCGGUAGCCGGUCUGAGAGGAUGAACGGCCACAUUGGGACUGAGACACGGCCCAGACUCCUACGGGAGGCAGCAGUGGGGAAUCUUCCGCAAUGGGCGAAAGCCUGACGGAGCAACGCCGCGUGGGUGAGGAAGUUCUUCGGAACGUAAAGCCCUGUUGUACAUGACGAACGUGCUUUCUAUCAACAACGGGAAGCAAUGACGGUAGUGUACGAGGAAGCCACGGCUAACUACGUGCCUGCAGCCGCGGUAAUACGUAGGUGGCAAGCGUUGUCCGGAAUUAUUGGGCGUAAAGCGCAUGUAGGCGGUGCCCUAAGUCUGUCGUGAAACUGCGGGGCCUAACCCCGUAUGGCGAUGGAAACUGUGGCACUUGAGUGCAGGAGAGGAAAGGGGAACUCCCAGUGUAGCGGUGAAAUGCGUAGAUAUUGGGAAGAACACCGGUGGCGAAAGCGCCUUUCUGGACUGUGUCUGACGCUGAGAUGCGAAAGCCAGGGUAGCGAACGGGAUUAGAUACCCCGGUAGUCCUGGCCGUAAACGAUGAAUACUAGKKKUAGGGGGUAUCAACUCCCUCUGUGCCGCAGCAAACGCAAUAAGUAUUCCGCCUGGGGAGUACGGCCGCAAGGUUGAAACUCAAAGGAAUUGACGGGGGCCCGCACAAGCAGCGGAGCAUGUGGUUUAAUUCGAAGCAACGCGAAGAACCUUACCAAGGCUUGACAUCCACUUAAAGGUAUGGAAACAUACUGUGUCUUCGGACGAAGUGAGACAGGUGGUGCAUGGUUGUCGUCAGCUCGUGUCGUGAGAUGUUGGGUUAAGUCCCGCAACGAGCGCAACCCUUAUUACCAGUUACCAGCGGGUUAUGCCGGGGACUCUGGUGAGACUGCCGGGGACAACUCGGAGGAAGGUGGGGACGACGUCAAAUCAUCAUGCCCCUUAUGUCUUGGGCUACACACGUGCUACAAUGGCUGCAACAAAGGGAAGCGACAGCGCAAGCUGAAGCGGAUCUCAGAAAAACAGUCCCAGUUCGGAUUGUGGGCUGCAACCCGCCCACAUGAAGUCGGAGUUGCUAGUAAUCGCGGAUCAGAAUGCCGCGGUGAAUACGUUCCCGGGCCUUGUACACACCGCCCGUCACACCAUGGGAGUUGGGAGUGCCCGAAGUCAGUAUCCUAACCGCAAGGGGGGAGCUGCCGAAGGCAAGAUCAAUGACUGGGGUGAAGUCGUAACAAGGUAACCGUA
This 1518-nucleotide ribosomal RNA is filed under the name uncultured rumen bacterium. RNAcentral describes it as "bacterial SSU rRNA". It matches the Rfam family "Bacterial small subunit ribosomal RNA". The record is from RNAcentral.